GGAGAGUUGGAAGAACUCCAGGGUUAAGCGUGCUCGCUUAACGGAAAUCCUAGGAUGGGUGACCUCCUGGGAAGUUUCCCAUUUCCCCCAAGAAUAAAACCGUGCGGGCCGUAGGGCCCAGAGCGGAUAAUAUCACACAUGGGCUGGGCCAUUACAAUUGGUAUCAGAGCUGAAGCCUCGCUCCUUUGACCGGUGGUGGGGCAAACCUCAGCGAGGACGCUGAGUCCCUAAGGGGGGGUGAGCGGUGGCUGUGAGCGGUGGCUGN
RNAcentral lists this long non-coding RNA (265 nucleotides) under Jatropha curcas. RNAcentral's name for it is "long non-coding RNA (JCUR_LNC002123)". Lineage: Eukaryota; Viridiplantae; Streptophyta; Magnoliopsida; Malpighiales; Euphorbiaceae. The record is from RNAcentral.